AGAGCACAAACAGGAGCAACAGAGGGAGAAGAAGAAGCAGGCUUUCCACUGAGCAGGGAGCCCAAUACAGGACUCGAUCCCAGAACCCUGGGAUUGUGACCUGAGCAGAAGGCAGCCGCUUAACUGACCAAGCCACUCAGAUGUAGGCACUUCUCAUAUAGGCAACUGGACGCAUGGCCGAGGGUGGGGAAUGAUGCAGUCAUACCCGGCCUUAUUCUGAAAACAGUCCUUGCUGUGAAACACUACAGGUGCAGGCUGCCUUCUCCAACAGAUGCAGUGAGAGAAGCCCUGAAGCUGAACAGUGUGGUCUCUCCCUUUCCCAGGCAACACUCCCAGCGUCCUCAGGUCUUCAGGUUCCUUUCUUCCCUCCGUCGAAACAGUGGCGGCAGCAGCAACUUUUGCACAUAGUUCUUGGGAGGAACAGGUGUAAACCACUGACCUCACAUGCAAAAGCCAGGUUUCCAUGUUCCAGGCAAGGUGAGCGGCACAAUCAGGAGACGGUGUUUUAUGGAAUGACUAGAGCGAUACCCGGUGAAUGCAGUCAGCGGGACUUACUUCUCUGGCACUCUCAGGUUCCUAGAGUUGAGUGAACUUAACGUCCAUGGAGCUCUAGAGUCACCAGAACAUCCACGUAAACUUUUAAUCAGACGGUUGGGCCUAGACACAUGUCGAAAAUUUUAGGGGAACUAUACAAUUUAAGCUAGUAUCCGGACAAGAUAAUGUGAGAAACAGUGAGAGAGAGGAGGGGGUUGCUUAAACAGUCAACAUUAAAGUAACUUUAGAUAUUACAGUUAAAAAUAGUUUUUUAAGUUAAGUAGUUUAGUUUAUGAUAUCUU
This is a long non-coding RNA of Mustela lutreola (European mink), 836 nucleotides long. RefSeq lists it as uncharacterized. The record is from RefSeq and is a predicted model, not a curated record. The transcript has 3 exons. Lineage: Eukaryota; Metazoa; Chordata; Mammalia; Carnivora; Mustelidae.